AAGGGAGGGUGCUGUUUUCAUCACACUCAACUCUUCAAAUUGUUUAAGUCCUGUUCUGAUGACAGCAUUGGUUAGAAAUCAAGAGGAUAAACAUGAGACAUGUUAGUGCUACACUUUCUAAAUAAAAGGAGAAUCCUUUCUGAAGCAGCAAUAAAAAGGCAAAAAGACAUCGUAGUUGACUGACUUGGUGCCUUGAAAUGAUAACUGUAACGUGUCCUGGUUUUGCAGCUAUACAAGGCUGCUUAUAUUCUUGCUGUCCUCAUCGUGACAUGGUGAUUCAGACAGCAGACCGAUGAGCUUGAUCAAAACAGACAGAAAAGUGCUGAACACGUACAAGAGUGCUUUCCAGCAACUUGCCAUUAUCAGUAGCAUCCAGAAUACAGACUAGCAGAUAUGGAACAGCACAGAACAUCUGCCAUCCAGACAAAGUUAAAA
Grus americana (Whooping crane) is the source of this 435-nucleotide long non-coding RNA. RefSeq lists it as uncharacterized. NCBI's taxonomy places the organism in Eukaryota, Metazoa, Chordata, Aves, Gruiformes, Gruidae. The record is from RefSeq and is a predicted model, not a curated record. The transcript is spliced from 5 exons.